Molecule: ribosomal RNA, 253 nt
Filed under: uncultured bacterium
Lineage: Bacteria
Description: partial 16S ribosomal RNA
Rfam family: Bacterial small subunit ribosomal RNA
Source: RNAcentral
UACAGAGGGUGCAAGCGUUAAUCGGAAUUACUGGGCGUAAAGCGUGCGUAGACGGUUAUGUAAGUCAGAUGUGAAAGCCCCGGGCUCAACCUGGGAAUUGCAUUUGAGACUGCAUAGCUAGGGUGCGGAAGAGGGAAGCGGAAUUUCGGGUGUAGCGGUGAAAUGCGUAGAUAUCCGAAGGAACAUCAGUGGCGAAAGCGGCUUCCUGGACCAGAACUGACGAUCAGGCACGAAAGCGUGGGGAGCAAACAGG